ACCCCCCGGUCCCCCCCCCGAACACGGUAGUUAAGCUUCUCUGCGCCAAUGGUAGUUGGGGGCUUCCCCCUGCGAGAGUAGGUCGCUGCCGGGC
This 94-nucleotide ribosomal RNA is filed under the name Listeria monocytogenes. Lineage: Bacteria; Bacillati; Bacillota; Bacilli; Caryophanales; Listeriaceae. The record is from RNAcentral.